AUUUUGCAUGAAAUGAUGAACAUACAUCGAUCUUUGUAUUUGGGAGGCAACUUCCUUUGUAUGAUAGCUAAGGCAUUUUUCGACACACUCACUCUUUCACUGCUGCUUAACUCUUAUUGGUGCAUAAUUUUUUCAAGAACUUGGCAUAUCUGAGUAUUUGUUUGAUAGCAUCAAGUAGAAGGAGAUUGAUUUCAACUUAACGGAAUGUUUUCAAGAUUUAUUUGUCCUUCUUUAUCUUAGCAAGUCUCUACGAAAAGGAUGGGAAUUAGCUGAUCAGGGUAUGUCUUAAUUGAAAGGGUGUUAUGAUUUGUUGCUAGCUCAAUAACUUUGCCCAAGGCUUAUGGUUAUGUUUUCUUUUGCAAGCCUAGGCCAAGGCUUAUUUUAACAAGAGCUUCUUAUACUUCUUUCCCAUUUUACAGGGUGAUAGCACU
Molecule: long non-coding RNA, 431 nt
Filed under: Carica papaya (papaya)
Lineage: Eukaryota; Viridiplantae; Streptophyta; Magnoliopsida; Brassicales; Caricaceae
Description: long non-coding RNA (CPAP_LNC013099)
Source: RNAcentral